RNAcentral lists this unclassified non-coding RNA (206 nucleotides) under Glomeraceae sp. RNAcentral describes it as "partial contains 5.8S ribosomal RNA and internal transcribed spacer 2". The stretch from base 1 to 71 matches the Rfam family "5.8S ribosomal RNA", at positions 84 to 154 of the family's 154-position model. The record is from RNAcentral. Lineage: Eukaryota; Fungi; Glomeromycota; Glomeromycetes; Glomerales; Glomeraceae.
GUGAAUCAUCGAAUUUUUGAACGCAAAUUGUACUCUCUGGUAUUCCGGAGAGUAUGCCUGUUUGAGGGUCAGUUUUAAUAAAAAUCGGUUUGGUUGCUGCAUUUUGUGGUGACGCACCGGAUUUGUGUCGUCUUGCUUUCGGUUAAGUGGCCUAAAAUUUUCCAUUAUUUUUUCGAAUUAAUUUAAAUUAUUUUUCUUACGUUUAC